UCUAUAUAAAGCGUUUGACUGCAGUCCAUUCAAUCAUUCGUUCUAAAACAUUCUGAAAGUAUAAGAGAAGUGUCCUCUAUUGCCGCUAUGAAAUUCGUUUUACUGUUCACCGUUGUCGUUAUCCUACUGUUUGAUGGUGCAUACUGCUCGAAUGGUGAAGAGCCAGUGGAAAAUUUAUCUCCAGCACGAGUAAGAGUACGCCGUUAUACAGAUUGGGCGGGUUGCAUGGCUAUUUGUACACCUGGUUGUGCAAUACCAAAUUGCAAUCAAUGGUGUACCCGCGUCUGCUGCAAAGAGUAUACUUCGCCUCAAUGUUAAAUGUAUGUGAUGGAUAAGCGGUUCAAAUAAAAUAAAUUCUGAGUCUUUUAAGCUGA
Bradysia coprophila is the source of this 374-nucleotide long non-coding RNA. The record is from RefSeq and is a predicted model, not a curated record. NCBI's taxonomy places the organism in Eukaryota, Metazoa, Arthropoda, Insecta, Diptera, Sciaridae.